GACAGAGGAUGCAAGCGUUAUCCGGAAUGAUUGGGCGUAAAGCGUCUGUAGGUGGCUUUUUAAGUCUGCUGUCAAAUCCCAGGGCUUAACCCUGGACAGGCGGUGGAAACUACCAAGCUGGAGUACGGUAGGGGCAGAGGGAAUUCCCGGUGUAGCGGUGAAAUGCGUAGAGAUCGGGAAGAACACCAAUGGCGAAAGCACUCUGCUGGGCCGAUUACUGACACUGAG
Molecule: ribosomal RNA, 228 nt
Filed under: uncultured prokaryote
Description: partial 16S ribosomal RNA
Rfam family: Bacterial small subunit ribosomal RNA
Source: RNAcentral